This 280-nucleotide ribosomal RNA is filed under the name uncultured Burkholderiales bacterium. RNAcentral describes it as "partial 16S ribosomal RNA". It matches the Rfam family "Bacterial small subunit ribosomal RNA", at positions 504 to 783 of the family's 1533-position model. Lineage: Bacteria; Pseudomonadati; Pseudomonadota; Betaproteobacteria; Burkholderiales. The record is from RNAcentral.
UGUGCCAGCAGCCGCGGUAAUACGUAGGGUGCAAGCGUUAAUCGGAAUUACUGGGCGUAAAGCGUGCGCAGGCGGUUUUGUAAGUCUGACGUGAAAUCCCCGGGCUUAACCUGGGAAUUGCGUUGGAGACUGCAAGGCUAGAAUCUGGCAGAGGGGGGUAGAAUUCCACGUGUAGCAGUGAAAUGCGUAGAGAUGUGGAGGAACACCGAUGGCGAAGGCAGCCCCCUGGGUCAAGAUUGACGCUCAUGCACGAAAGCGUGGGGAGCAAACAGGAUUAGAU